Molecule: ribosomal RNA, 301 nt
Filed under: uncultured bacterium
Lineage: Bacteria
Description: partial 16S ribosomal RNA
Rfam family: Bacterial small subunit ribosomal RNA
Source: RNAcentral
CAGUCGCCACGGUAAUACGUAGGUCCCGAGCGUUGUCCGGAUUUAUUGGGCGUAAAGGGAGCGCAGGCGGUCAGGAAAGUCUGGGGUAAAAGGCUAUGGCUCAACCAUAGUGUGCUCUGGAAACUGUCUGACUUGAGUGCAGAAGGGGAGAGUGGAAUUCCAUGUGUAGCGGUGAAAUGCGUAGAUAUAUGGAGGAACACCAGUGGCGAAAGCGGCCCUCUGGUCUGUCACUGACGCUGAGGCUCGAAAGCGUGGGUAGCGAACAGGAUUAGAUACCCGAGUAGUCCCUGUCUCUUAUACA